AGGACAUAGUUUGGAAUCGAGUGUUCACACUACUUGUUCAGACUUAAAGAGAAUCUCGAGUUAAGGCUUCAGGGGAGUAUGGUCACAAGGCUGAAAUUAAAGGAAUGGCGGAAGGCCCACCCAGGAGUGGAGCCUGCGGCUUAAUUUGACUCAACACGGGAAACUUACCAAGACCGAACAGUAGAAGGAAUGACAGAUUAAGAGUUCUUUCAUGAUUUAUUGGGUAGUGGUGCAUGGCCGUUCUUAGUUGGUGGAGCGAUUUGUCAGGUUAAUUCCGGUAACGAACGAGACUGAAACCUAUUAAUUAGUUUCCUGCCUAUACGACAGGAAUUUUCGUAAGAUUAGUUGCUUCGGUAACACUUCUUAAAGGGACACAUUUCAAUUGUCUGCCUUUAAUUGAAUUUUCUGACUAAUGUUAGAAGUCAUUUAAAGGGAGAAAAAGAAAAAGGAAGCAUUCAGCAAUAACAGGUCUGUGAUGCCCUUAGACAUCUUGGGCCGCACGCGUGCUACAAUGGAGUUACUAGAGAGUAGAUAAUCAUACAAGCCUUUUGUACUAGGCUUCGGUCUAUACGAUUGGAAUUUGUGUGAUGUACCGAGAUUGAAAUAGUUAAGGAAAACUCAAAAGAACGUACAUGACAGGGAUAAAUGAUUGGAAUUAUUUGUUUUGAACGAGGAAUUCCUUGUAAUAUCGAGUCACUAACUCGAGAUGAAUACGUCCCUGCCCUUUGUACACACCGCCCGUCGCUCCUACCGAUUGAAUAAGGAGGUGAAAUUCCAGGACUGACUCUAACAAGAGAUGGAAAUGGAUUUAAAUCUCCUUAUUUAGAGGAAGGAGAAGUCGUAAC
This 845-nucleotide ribosomal RNA is filed under the name uncultured eukaryote. RNAcentral's name for it is "partial small subunit ribosomal RNA". It matches the Rfam family "Eukaryotic small subunit ribosomal RNA", at positions 1042 to 1795 of the family's 1831-position model. The record is from RNAcentral.